RNAcentral lists this small nuclear RNA (130 nucleotides) under Salvator merianae (Argentine black and white tegu). RNAcentral describes it as "U4 spliceosomal RNA (ENSSMRG00000021980.1)". It matches the Rfam family "U4 spliceosomal RNA". Rfam says of the family: U4 small nuclear RNA (U4 snRNA) is a component of the major U2-dependent spliceosome. The structure of U4 snRNA from yeast and human has been reported. Lineage: Eukaryota; Metazoa; Chordata; Lepidosauria; Squamata; Teiidae. The record is from RNAcentral.
AGCUUUGCGCAGUGGCAGUAUNGUAGUCAAUUAGGUUUAUCCAAGGCACGAUUAUUGCUAANUGAAAAAUGCUAUAAUAUGAGGAUUCAGUAUAAGUCACAGUUGCUUGAAUUUUCAGAAACUAGAUUAG